AUCCAAAUAGCGUCCUUUCCUCAGAGUACGCUGGUAGCUGUGGAUCUCCAGCCACACUGUGGGAGUGUGGGUUCAUAUCCUGCUAUUGCUAGGCAGAUGACAUCACUCUUCUUUUCCAUAAAGAGUUGUUCCAUCUGUGCUGCUUGCUGAGCAAAACACACGUAUGUGGGGCCUGCAGAUGAAAUAUGCCUGCGAUGUGGGCCCAGGCCAAUUUCGUCUCUUAAAGGAAACAGCAACGCUAUUUAAGUGGUACCAAUAAAAUAACAUUUUAUCUUCCGAAUUUAAAAACAAUUCCCAAGCCUGCAUGGAAUCAACCCUUUCAAAUAGUUCAGGAAUCUGUUGUUAUGUCCUCUGAACAUAAUAGUUUCAUGUUUGGGAGUUGCUAGAUCUAACAGAAAAUAAUAGGGACUUUUCUAAUUGCUUGUAACCGGCUAGGCACUUAACAUUUAAUUCUCAUCAUAAGCCUUUUCUAACAAUGACAUGCUUCCCAUUUUAGGAGUGAUAAAAAUUAAAACGGAGGCUCAGAGAGGUUCAAUGAACUGUUUAGAGUAUUAAUACUGGAGCCUGAGCUUUCAUCUCUGGAAAUCUAAUCGUGAACCUGGAGUUCAUUCCACCCCUGCUCAUCAGAAAACAAUUAAUAGGUGAAAGGCAAAUGAGUAUUUUUGAUAACACAUUUUUUUAAAUAGGAUGACUUGCCAAAUCUCUUCUCUCUGGAAUGCUUCACAAUCUGCUCCUUCGAUUUUUUUUUUUUCCUUCUUGAAGGCAGGCUGGAGUAAUAGAAACACGCUCUUGGAGGGCUUUGAAGCACAAUAGUAUAUAAAGAUGUGACAGUGACUGCUAUCCUGAAAGCACAAACUAAAUCUCUAGCAGGGUUUGAUCAUCUCUGAGUCUAAGCUGGGAGAUAAGAGAUUUGUGACACUGGCAAUGCCGUUAAUUCUGGGACAGGGGUACUAAUACAUUUCCUUGUUCUGUCUGCCUUAAGGCUUUGUCCAAGAUACUCAGUGAAAAGAACCUCUUCUCUUUCAUAUUUUUGGGGAACUCCAAUUGAUCUCAGCAGCACCCAUCUCUCCUCCCCUACCUUUCUACAUCUUCCUAGGUGGCAAAUGGAUGAAAGGAUUGACUUCUUGGCCCUUUAGCAGCGGAAUAACAAUUGUUUCCCAUCUCUUCUUUUCUUCCCAACUCCUCCCCUUUCCCCAUCCUGGGAAGUUAAGUUUCUUCCACUGAGGUCUUCCCCUAUAAUCCCAGAGGCCUCUUCUUUUCAGUCCAUCUACAGUCAUUAACAAAUUGAGAAUUUCUCCAGAGCUUAAAGUUUGACUCUCUGGAGCUGGGAACAGAUAGUGCGAAUGAUAAAAACAAAACAAAACAGCCUCCCCGCCCACCCAAACAGCUGUCACCAAUCACACUCUCCAAUCCUCAGGGGGAUCCGUUGAGCUUACUAGAGUGAAGGAUCAAUCUCGAGUUGCCCUGGCAACAGUAAUCAGCUUUGAGAACAUCCUCCUGGGCUGUUUGGAUGCACGGAAAGGAAAAAGCAGGAUGGGGAGCAAAGGUUUGUUCUCCCCAUGUUUUGAGAAGUCCCUGCACAGCAGUUCACUGUGUUCAACAUGAGGAGUACUUGUGGAUCUCACAGCAUGAAAAGCGUCUGCUGUGAUGAGAUUGAUUUCACUUAAGAGGCCCUUGAAAUACACAUGCACACCCUAAAGUUUUCAAGGACGUUUAUCAGGAGCCAAAUUUCCAUGGGGAGUUGGAAAUCAAUUCUUCAACAGCAAACUCCAACCCUGUCAGUUGCUCAGAUCCGCAUCCCUCAUUCUAGGUUGGAAAAUGAAAGAAUCUCCUGAAAUCCACAUUGGGAGAGUAAGAUGUGGUUGUCAGUGAAGACAAGAAGGCAGGGUUGUCCACCCCCAUCCCACACACCCUCAUUGAUUCCAGCUUUAGCUCUGUGCAAGUUUAUUUUUUAAAAUGUGGAUGCUCCAUUUUCAGAGAGUGAUCUAAAAAUACACUCCUGCAUGCCUGUGGCUGUGAUGUGUAUAUAAAUCCAAAACCUCAGAAUAGAGUGGAUUACACUGAGAAGCAGAUAGACCAAAAAGCAGAACAGGAUGAUUCCUUCUACCUUCUGUGUCAGGAGGCGGCACUCAUGGCAUUAAGCACAUCAAAUGUUGUCAGAGUUGAUUUCAUGAAUAGGUUUCUGUGAGAAGUAACUUAAAGGACACGGAAGAAGACUGUUUUCCAGGUGUGAUCCCAUAUUGCCAUUCUUCUCUGCCCAAAAUGACAUUUUUGAUAAAACUAAAAUUGUAAGAAUAAAAGCAAACAUUGAUUAAGGGUGUUCCAUGUAAGAAUAAAAGCAAACAGUAAGAGUGUUCUAUGUACUGGUGUGAUCAGACCCCCUGCCCGGAGGUGGCUCUUCUCUCUCUCAGUCUCUGUACAUCCCCUGCUGGAUCAGUGCUUGCUUCACCUACACCUUACUCACACCACUGACUUUCCUAUAUACUUGCCCCCACCCCAGUUAGUGAUUGUUCUAACCCUUAGAUCAGAACAUCUCCACCUGAUUGCUGAUCAAAUGGGUAGUGAGAGCGUGCCCCUCGGCCAGUUUCCCUGGUAACCAAUGAGCCAACCAAUGUCAAUUCCCCCUCUAACUGGUAACCUCCCCCUCCCUCCAGGAGCUGCCCUGUCCCGCCUGCUGCCUGCCUGGUACGGUAGACUGUUGUUGUUUUGUGGCUGGAGUGGGAGCUGUCAUGUCCCGGGGCCUGCAGGCGUCCUUAACAUGGACUCACCGCCAAGUGAGGGUUCUUGGCUUCUCGACAGGGGGAAAGAAUUCAAGAGCCAGCCAAGGAAAAGCAAAGGAUGUGGUCUAUCCUGGAGAAUGUUCCAGGUACACUUGAGAAGAAGGUGUAUUCUUCUGCAUUUGGAUGGAAUUUCCUGAAGAUAUCAAUGAGAUCCAUCUCAUCUAAUGUAUCAUAUCAAGUUCAAGGGAAGUAGUGAUGCUCAUUGUCCUUGUAGGAGUUCACAUGGUAUGAAGAAGCGCUGUGGGAAGAGUCUAUCAGUAGCCACCACUGUCAGUAGUCUUGGGUACUCUGGAUGACUUUCUCCUUCAGCAGCACUACCUCCAAGCAGGUCCUGAGGAGACCAGUUGCAUUCGGCGUGAACUGGACACAACAAGAAUCAGGAAUCAUCCCAGGAGAAUGAAAAUAUGGAGAUCUUUUAGCCUACAACCUCAUGUGGCAAAAAGCCUGUUAUUGCUGCAGGUACUAAAGAAGAACGAAAUGAUCUCAAGCUAGGUCAUAAAAGAGAGAAAUCUAGGAGAUGGAGAACCUGGAGCAUUUAGCUUUUAUUGACACAUGGCUCAGCUUUUCAAUUGUAUCAAAUUCAAAGCAAUAAACACUCAUCCGGUGUCCAUCUCCCCAAGGUGCUCCAGGAGGCAUGGAGAGGCGGAGAGGAAAAAACACAGCAGGAAAGCCUCCAUAUACAUGUGGCCAUGCUUUGGGGAGAAAACCCAAGUGCACGUUGGUUAGGGCUAUAAGAUAGGAAUGUACAGUGUGCUGUGGGAACACAUACAGAAGCAUUUUAUUCUGCCUGGAGGGUGCCUGGGAAGCUUGGCGCCGAAUGACCGGACUGUCCCUGGCAAUAUGGAUUAAUAAGGCGCUAACUUUCAACCUUUUCUAAUUGAGACUUACAGUUCAAAAUUAUUUUAUAUGCCUAUUCUAAACACACAAACCCAUGCACAUGUACUUAAGUGUUACAAAAUAAUACUCUGUGAGGCACCCUUGUGUUUUGUUUUUUUUCCUUUCAUUCUGUUUUUAUUAUUGUAGAUGCUGGUUGAAACCCAUUUAACUGAGCAACCUUGAUCAAUUAAUGAAUUGGGAUCUCAACUUACAAAAUUCUGGAAUAAAGCAUGGUCUUUGAAGUGACACAAAACUGUUUUUAAAUCUCAGCAUGUGCUGUGUUGUGCUUAGUCACUCAGUCAUAUCCAACUCUGUGACCCCAUGGAUUUGGGCAGUUUGUUUAACUUUUAUGAAUUUGAGAUUCCGUGCCUAUAGAAAAAUCAUAUGUGGCUACUCUCUACCAGACCAGAAUUAAAG
Long non-coding RNA from Bos taurus (domestic cattle), 4073 nucleotides. The record is from Ensembl. NCBI's taxonomy places the organism in Eukaryota, Metazoa, Chordata, Mammalia, Artiodactyla, Bovidae.